UCAAGCUACAAAGGGCGCAGGGCGAAUGCCUUGGCAUUGGGAGCCGACGAAGGACGCGGUAAGCUGCGAAAAGCUUCGGGGAGUUGCAAACAAACAUUGAUCCGGAGAUGUCCGAAUGGAGCAAUCCGGCAUGGUUAAUACCAUGUCACCGUAUACUGAAUCCAUAGGUAUGCGGGGGGAACCGCCUGAACUGAAACAUCUAAGUAGGGCGAGGAAGAGAAAUCAACCGAGAUUUCGCUAGUAGUGGCGAGCGAACGCGAAAGAGGCCAAACCUGAGGUAGAAAUACUUCAGGGGUUGCGGACUGCAUUUAGGAAGCCGAUUUUAGCAGAAGUGCAUGGGACGGCACACCGGAGAACGUGAGAGUCGUGUAUGCGAAAAGAGAGGCAGACGAGCAGGAUCCAGAGUACCGCGGGGCACGAGGAAUCCCGUGGGAAGCCGGGGGGACCACCCUCCAAGCCUAAAUACUACCCAAUGACCGAUAGCGAAUAGUACUGUGAAGGAACGGUGAAAAGCACCCCGGGAGGGGAGUGAAAUAGAACCUGAAACCCUGUGCCUACAAGCACAUAGAGCGCGUCAAAGCGUGAUAUGGUACCUUUUGUAGAAUGGUCCGGCGAGCGUACGUAGCCAGCAAGGUUAAGGACUUAAGGUCUGGAGCCGCAGCGAGAGCGAGUCUGAAAAGGGCGAGAUAGUUGGUUGCGUAGGGCCCGAAACCGGGUGACCUAUCCAUGUCCAGGUUGAAGUGGAGGUAAAACUCCAUGGAGGACCGAACCGACCUCCGUUGAAAAGGCGGCGGAUGAGGUGUGGAUAGCGGAGAAAUUCCAAUCGAACCCGGAGAUAGCUGGUUCUCCCCGAAAUAGCUUUAGGGCUAGCGUUGCAUAUGAUUACCGGAGGUAAAGCACUGAAUGGGCUAGGGGUCGAGAGAUUACUGAACCCUAUCAAACUAAGAAUGCCGGCUAAUUUAGAGUGCAGCAGUCAGACUAUGGGAGAUAAGUUUCAUAGUCAAAAGGGAAACAGCCCAGACCCACAGCUAAGGUCCCAAAGUAUGUUUAAGUGGAAAAGGAUGUGGAAUUGCGAAAACAACCAGGAUGUUGGCUUAGAAGCAGCCAUACAUUAAAAGAGUGCGUAAUAGCUCACUGGUCGAGUGGUUCUGCGCCGAAAAUUUAACGGGGCUAAAACAUACACCGAAGCUUGGGCUGCAUACUGUUUAACAAAACUCAUAUACACCAGGGAGGUAACUCCCGGCGACGGAACGGAGCCGGGUAAAUUACUUUCCGGAAAAGGUGAGUGGGCUUUGUUAAGCAGUAUGCGGGGUAGGGGAGCGUCGUAUACGAGGAGAAGUCAGAGCGAAAGCGUUGGUGGAUUGUAUACGAGUGAGAAUGCCGGAAUGAGUAGCGAGAAUUAUGUGAGAAUCAUAAUGGCCGAAAGCCUAAGGUUUUAGGAGGAAGGUUCGUCCGCUCCUAGUAAGCCGGGAGCUAAGGUGAGGCCGAAAGGCGUAGCCGAUGCACAUACGGUGGAGAUUCCGUAGCCUCCAAAAGAUUUAAGCAGAGUGACACUUUCAAAGGGUAUGAGCCGGGCGAUGGUAGACCCGGUCGUAAGGGACCGAAAACAAGUAGGGAAGCAUACUUAGAGGAAGGCGAGAAAAGCUUUGUGGAUAUCUGAGGAGCCCGUACCGCAAACCGACACAGGUAGGUAGGAAGAGGAUUCUAAGGCCAACGGGAGAAGGGUUGUUAAGGAACUCGGCAAGUUGACCCCGUAACUUCGGGAGAAGGGGUACUCAUGAGAAUGAGUCGCAGAGAAUAGGCCCAGGCGACUGUUUAGCAAAAACACAGGUCUGUGCUAAAUCGAAAGAUGACGUAUACGGGCUGACACCUGCCCGGUGCUGGAAGGUUAAGAGGAGGGGUGAGAGCUCUGAAUUGAAGCCCCAGUAAACGGCGGCCGUAACUAUAACGGUCCUAAGGUAGCGAAAUUCCUUGUCAGGUAAGUUCUGACCCGC
Molecule: ribosomal RNA, 1994 nt
Filed under: human gut metagenome
Description: bacterial LSU rRNA
Rfam family: Bacterial large subunit ribosomal RNA
Source: RNAcentral